AGCAGUGUAGAGCAGUCCGGUAGCUCGUCAGGCUCAUAACCUGAAGGUCACGGGUUCGAAUCCCGUCGCUGCAACCA
RNAcentral lists this transfer RNA (77 nucleotides) under Ochrobactrum sp. CM-21-5. RNAcentral's name for it is "tRNA-Met". It matches the Rfam family "tRNA". Rfam says of the family: Transfer RNA (tRNA) molecules are approximately 80 nucleotides in length. Their secondary structure includes four short double-helical elements and three loops (D, anti-codon, and T loops). The record is from RNAcentral. Lineage: Bacteria; Pseudomonadati; Pseudomonadota; Alphaproteobacteria; Hyphomicrobiales; Brucellaceae.